UGGGGAAUAUUGGACAAUGGGCGGAAGCCUGAUCCAGCCAUGCCGCGUGUGUGAAGAAGGCCUUUUGGUUGUAAAGCACUUUAAGCGAGGAGGAGGCUACUUGGAUUAAUACUCUAGGAUAGUGGACGUUACUCGCAGAAUAAGCACCGGCUAACUCUGUGCCAGCAGCCGCGGUAAUACAGAGGGUGCGAGCGUUAAUCGGAUUUACUGGGCGUAAAGCGUGCGUAGGCGGCUUCUUAAGUCGGAUGUGAAAUCCCUGAGCUUAACUUAGGAAUUGCAUUCGAUACAGUGACGCUAGAGUAUGGGAGAGGAUGGUAGAAUUCCAGGUGUAGCGGUGAAAUGCGUAGAGAUCUGGAGGAAUACCGAUGGCGAAGGCAGCCAUCUGGCCUAAUACUGACGCUGAGGUACGAAAGCAUGGGGAGCAAACAGG
RNAcentral lists this ribosomal RNA (430 nucleotides) under Acidobacteriota bacterium. RNAcentral's name for it is "Acidobacteria bacterium partial 16S ribosomal RNA". It matches the Rfam family "Bacterial small subunit ribosomal RNA", at positions 355 to 776 of the family's 1533-position model. Lineage: Bacteria; Pseudomonadati; Acidobacteriota. The record is from RNAcentral.